Molecule: long non-coding RNA, 258 nt
Organism: Pomacea canaliculata
Lineage: Eukaryota; Metazoa; Mollusca; Gastropoda; Architaenioglossa; Ampullariidae
Exons: 2
Source: RefSeq, a predicted model, not a curated record
CAUUGUGCAUAACAUGGAGUCCACAGCUGCCCACAUUUAACAAACCAACAUUGUGAUUGGUGGAGCCUGCGAUUAACCGUUUGAUAAUGGUAGGCAGCGCCUACUGUACAAUCAAGUGUUUGUGAAUAGGUAUUAAGGUCCUUGGAUUUAUUAUGUACUCUGCACAGGUCCCCACCUUGCAAAUCCAUGUUCCAUGUGCUAUAUCAGUCUCCCAUGAUAGUGGCUGGAUUGAAACAGAAUAAAGGAUUACAAUUGAAA